This is a long non-coding RNA of Xenia sp. Carnegie-2017, 289 nucleotides long. RefSeq lists it as uncharacterized. The record is from RefSeq and is a predicted model, not a curated record. The transcript has 2 exons. Lineage: Eukaryota; Metazoa; Cnidaria; Anthozoa; Malacalcyonacea; Xeniidae.
AGAAUUCCUUUGAAUCCGAAAAGUGUGCUGUUUAAUGGCAAAAUUACUCGAGGAGAGAAGUUACUUUCUAGAUUGAAUCAUGAAAAUAUUAUAAGGUUCAUAAAACCAUCUUUUAUUGCUACAAACACUUUAUCUGACAUCAUUGAGAAAUGGCAAACUUGUGAUUCAAAUAUGGACAACUUGUGUAAAGCUUAAGGUACCAAACACUUGUCUUUCAUAUCUGUGCAUGCAAAGCAAAAAAAAGACUUUCUUUGGUGAACUUAUUUGAAUUGCACUUUGUUUAAAUACU